RNAcentral lists this unclassified non-coding RNA (461 nucleotides) under uncultured Powellomyces. RNAcentral describes it as "sequence contains ITS2". The stretch from base 1 to 154 matches the Rfam family "5.8S ribosomal RNA". The record is from RNAcentral. Lineage: Eukaryota; Fungi; Chytridiomycota; Chytridiomycetes; Spizellomycetales; Powellomycetaceae.
AACUUUUAGCAACGGAUCACUUGGUUCUCGCAACGAUGAAGAACGCAGCGAAAUGCGAUAAGUAGUGUGAAUUGCAGAAUUCAGUGAAUCAUCAAAUCUUUGAACGCACAUUGCGCUUCCUGGCAUUCCGGGGAGCAUGCUCGUUUCAGAAUCAUUAAAACUCUCAUGACCUUGGGUGUGCACUUUGCGGUGUCUCCCAGGCAAGUGAAUUUGAGCUUGUUUUGCCAGUCAACCUGGCAAUAGCUUUGAAAUGAUUGCGUGUGUCGACCCUCAAAUUGAGGUUGCGUGAUCUUACCAGUGCAACAGGUAACAAUGCUACGCUGGUUGAGAUCUCGUGUCUGGCAAUGCACGUUCCAUCUUUACACAGAUCUGGGUGUGGAUUCUCCCACCAAAUCUGACAACUUGGUCUGAAAUCGAGCAAGAAAACCCGCUGAACUUAAGCAUAUCAAUAAGCGGAGGCU